This 235-nucleotide ribosomal RNA is filed under the name uncultured bacterium. RNAcentral describes it as "partial 16S ribosomal RNA". It matches the Rfam family "Bacterial small subunit ribosomal RNA", at positions 524 to 757 of the family's 1533-position model. The record is from RNAcentral.
AACGUAGGUGGCAAGCGUUAUCCGGAAUUACUGGGCGUAAAGCGUGCGCAGGCGGUCUGUUAAGACCGAUGUGAAAUCCCCGGGCUUAACCCUGGGAAUGGCAUUUGGGACUGCAAGGCUGGAGUGCGGCAGAGGAGACUGGAAUUCCUGGUGUAGCAGUGAAAUGCGUAGAUAUCAGGAGGAAUACCGAUGGCGAAGGCAGGUCUCUGGGCUGACACUGACGCUCAUGCACGAA